Myxocyprinus asiaticus (Chinese sucker) is the source of this 1375-nucleotide long non-coding RNA. RefSeq lists it as uncharacterized. The transcript has 5 exons. Lineage: Eukaryota; Metazoa; Chordata; Actinopteri; Cypriniformes; Catostomidae. The record is from RefSeq and is a predicted model, not a curated record.
GUAGGUCCAAUCCGGGAAGGAGAGGGAUGGGAGGAGGAGCACCGUUGAAACUCAACCGUGAAUGCACUUCCCAUCUAGAAUGUGAUUACCAUGUGCAUUGUACCACAUGGUAAGUUGUAGGAGUCUCCAGGAUCAACGAUAGCUCAGGCUUUGAAAAGCAAUAAGGCAGAAUCAUCUCCUCUCACUGAAUUAAAGAAAUACUUGGAAGACAAGAUCAAACAACCAGGAUUGUUGCAUUGCAAAUUGAAGCAACGGAACGGUUGGAAUAUGUAUCUGAUAAAUAUAAGACACAAGCACAGAUUGAUAUGCUGAAAAUCAUGGCCCUCCAGUCUGAUGUAACCUGGAUAAGGAAAAUGCUUAAAACUGUGACCUACCAGGCUGAGAUCCAGAAAACUGUAUUGUGAAAAUACUCUUACCUUUGAAGAGCUUAAAACAGUGCAUUUCUUAAUAUUCCUUUUAUCUAAUAAAUACAUUAAGUGUCACACACAGAGAGAUUGUAACCAUUCAGGGUUGGAUCAUUGUUAUAAUACCACUGAUUUCUGACAGAGCUUCAAAAGAAACUGAGCGACAAGGAGCAGAUUAAAAAACAAAAGUGCUGGCAGCUACAAACAGUGAUGUCAGUCAACUUAAUGAUUGUGAAUGUUUUGUACAGUACAAUCAUCUUUUAGUUUUGAGAGGCUCGUUCAUAGAACAUGAGCAGAACCCAGUGUAACUGGAUACUCAAUUUUAAACAUAUUUUUCAAAAGUACUAUUCAUUUCUUUGGGGAUAAAACCAGUUUAAUGAGAAAAAAUGAUGUAAAGUGCACUUUAAAAAAAAGUUAUAUGAGAGCUAAACGUCAAUUGAAUGGGAAUCUUAACUGUUCAAAAAAAUGCUUUAUUUGCAGAGAAAGAGAUUACUGUUCUCAAGAAAGUGUCAAUGCUGAAAAUACAAAUAGACAAAGCUCAAAAGAGGGCAAAGCAGAAAAUUAAAGGUUCUACUCACCUUUUUCUCAUCUAUUUCAUCAGUACCUGAGAGCAAUUUUAUCAACUGUGCUUUGUCACUGAGACUCCAUGGAUUCAUUUUCAGUCUCUAGGGUGUUCUGAGUCAUAGUCAAUGUUUUUGUAUCUAAAUUAUUCAUUUAAACAAUGCAAUUUUCGUCUCUGUUUCAGAUCUUGAAGAACAACUAAAAAUGAAUAAUGGGGCACUGAAUGACGCAACUAAAGAAUUGAAAGAGAAGGAUGCCAAAAUAGCAUCACAAAGUAAGUGGACAAGCACUGAAAAAUACAUUUGUCCAAUUUGCCAAUAAUUAAUUUGCCCAAUUAGAAAACUGUCUGGUUGGAUAACACAUGCAUUUGUGAUCAAUCAGAACUUCAGAUCUUUGCUGUAUAAUUCUUU